This 253-nucleotide ribosomal RNA is filed under the name uncultured bacterium. RNAcentral describes it as "partial 16S ribosomal RNA". It matches the Rfam family "Bacterial small subunit ribosomal RNA", at positions 524 to 776 of the family's 1533-position model. The record is from RNAcentral.
UACGAAGGGGGCUAGCGUUGCUCGGAAUCACUGGGCGUAAAGGGUGCGUAGGCGGGUCUUUAAGUCAGGGGUGAAAUCCUGGAGCUCAACUCCAGAACUGCCUUUGAUACUGAAGAUCUUGAGUUCGGGAGAGGUGAGUGGAACUGCGAGUGUAGAGGUGAAAUUCGUAGAUAUUCGCAAGAACACCAGUGGCGAAGGCGGCUCACUGGCCCGAAACUGACGCUGAGGCACGAAAGCGUGGGGUGCAAGCAGG